UUUGAUCAUGGCUCAGAUUGAACGCUGGCGGAAUGCUUUACACAUGCAAGUCGAACGGUAGAGGGGGCAACCCCUCGAGAGUGGCGAACGGGUGAGUAAUAUAUCGGAACGUGCCCAGUCGUGGGGGAUAACGUAGCGAAAGUUACGCUAAUACCGCAUACGAUCUACGGAUGAAAGCGGGGGACUCGCAAGAGCCUCGCGCGAUUGGAGCGGCCGAUAUCAGAUUAGGUAGUUGGUGGGGUAAAGGCUCACCAAGCCAACGAUCUGUAGCUGGUCUGAGAGGACGACCAGCCACACUGGAACUGAGACACGGUCCAGACUCCUACGGGAGGCAGCAGUGGGGAAUUUUGGACAAUGGACGCAAGUCUGAUCCAGCCAUUCCGCGUGCAGGAUGAAGGCCCUCGGGUUGUAAACUGCUUUUGUACGGAACGAAAAGGUUUCUAUUAAUACUAGGAGCUCAUGACGGUACCGUAAGAAUAAGCACCGGCUAACUACGUG
This 498-nucleotide ribosomal RNA is filed under the name uncultured bacterium. RNAcentral describes it as "bacterial SSU rRNA". It matches the Rfam family "Bacterial small subunit ribosomal RNA", at positions 12 to 507 of the family's 1533-position model. The record is from RNAcentral.